RNAcentral lists this ribosomal RNA (626 nucleotides) under Nanobathysciola ovata. RNAcentral's name for it is "partial 16S ribosomal RNA". The stretch from base 388 to 547 matches the Rfam family "Bacterial large subunit ribosomal RNA", at positions 2473 to 2632 of the family's 2925-position model. Lineage: Eukaryota; Metazoa; Arthropoda; Insecta; Coleoptera; Leiodidae. The record is from RNAcentral.
GUCUUAUUGAUUAUAAUUUUAAGUCUAAUCUGCCCAGUGAAAUUAUUAAAUGGCUGCAGUAUUUUAACUGUACAAAGGUAGCAUAAUAAUUAGUUUCUUAAUUAGGAACUGGAAUGAAUGAUUGAACGAGAUAAUAACUGUCUUAAUUUAAAUUUAAGAAUUUUAUUUUUAAGUUAAAAAGCUUAAAUAAUUUUAAAAGACGAGAAGACCCUAUAGAAUUUUAUAUAAUUUAAUAAUUUAAAUUAUAGAAUUUUAAUUUUGAAUUUUUAAUAAAAUAUUUAAUUGGGGUGAUUGAAAAAUUUAUAUAACUUUUUUUAAUUAAAUAAGUACAUUUAUAUAUGAAUGUUUGAUCCAUAUUUUUUGAUUAUAAGAUUAAAUUACCUUAGGGAUAACAGCGUAAUUUUUUUGGAGAGUUCUUAUCGAUAAAAGAGAUUGCGACCUCGAUGUUGGAUUAAAGUUAAUUUUUAAUGAAGAAGUUAAAAUUAUUAGGUCUGUUCGACCUUUAAAACUUUACAUGAUCUGAGUUUAAAUCGGCGUGAGCCAGGUUGGAUUCUAUCUUUAAUUAUUUUUAAUAUUUUAGUACGAAAGGACCAGAUAUUAGUUAUAAUAAUUUUUAUAGGAUAAUA